UUUGCACCCAGAUCUUCAGUUCAUACUCUGAAACUUAAGCCCAACUCCCAACCUUUGUUAUAGCUGAAUAAUUAAGGAAUUAAUUUCAGCUGGAAAGUGGUAAUGACUGAAUGACCAUCAGGAAAAAUUGCACUCCCUGAAAGUUUUACCAAUACCUCAUCGCUGAGGGGUUUUGGUUAUGGCUCAUUUCUUUACAGGUUGCCUUCUGCGUCCAGAUUUGGAAUUUGAGAUGGGAGAACAUGAAAUUAGUCAAAGACUCUAAAAAAAAAUUAUAUGAGGCAAAUGGUUGGAGAAGGUAAACUUCAGCUUCUUCAAGGAAGUUCUUCAACAGCCUCAGGAAAAUCUGAACUAACCAUGGAUGUAUCUGGAAGAAGAGGAUUCUUUCCGUCCUCAUCUCUGAAUGCCGUCAUGUGGGAAUGACCUUUAAGGAAGAGCUGUGCUA
RNAcentral lists this long non-coding RNA (442 nucleotides) under Parus major (Great Tit). RNAcentral describes it as "lncRNA (ENSPMJG00000009375.1)". The record is from RNAcentral. Lineage: Eukaryota; Metazoa; Chordata; Aves; Passeriformes; Paridae.